RNAcentral lists this long non-coding RNA (340 nucleotides) under Salvia miltiorrhiza (redroot sage). Its description in RNAcentral is "long non-coding RNA (SMIL_LNC001172)". Lineage: Eukaryota; Viridiplantae; Streptophyta; Magnoliopsida; Lamiales; Lamiaceae. The record is from RNAcentral.
UUCAAUGAAAUUGAGAAUUUAAAAAUAAAAGUGUAGAAAUAUGAAUUUUGUGAAAAUGGAGAUCUAAGACACCCUUUAAGACACGAUGCAUUGGAAAGGGGUGUGUCUUAGGUGGGGACCACCAUCUAAGACACCCCCUAAGACACACCCCACUGGAGAACGACUCUCCAUCUAUACCCACGUAACUUGGGAAUUGACACUGUGGCAGCCGGAAUAGAUGAGGCGGCAGCCGGAAUUGACACCUAAACAUAACUUUUACAUUGGUAAAAAAUUUAAAAAAAAAAGAGAAAAAAAUUUCCAACUCAUCAUCUUCCCAACCUAAUUCACCUCUCCUCCCUUC